AGAGUAACACGUACAGUGCAAAAGGAAAAAAGAACAUUAAGUAUUCGUGCAAGACUCUUACACCCGAAUUAGUUCCUGCCACCCUCUCCACGCCUCCACCCCCAGAGGCGGCCACUGUCCACCCUUCAGGCUGGUUCUUCUGAUGGUUCCCUCCGUGCGUCUCUGCCCCCUCGGCUUCUUGAUUCCGUGGUUGUGGGCAUUUUCCUCUCACUGCACGGUGUGUGGAACGCACUGGUUGGGGCAGCAGAGCCGCCGAAGUUGCUCAGACAGCACAGGGUCCGACGUCUUAGGUGAGACAGUGAGAAGGAGUCUCUGAAGCCGUCCUUAGAGCUCAUCCCCCGGGGAACAGCAGGUCUCAGCUGGUCAGCAGUGGGUGUCGCCGUCCUGGACGAGCGUGUGCACCCAGCACCUCGGGAGCACCCUGAGGCCCCUUCCUUCCACACGAACUUCUCUGACGUCAUCCCUGCCUCUUCCUCCCUCUGUGUCAGCUCAUUUCACGCGUCCGGGCGGCUGGUCCACGGGGACCCGGGGAUUUGGUGGAACAUUCCUCUGGGCGUCUCUGGGUGAGCCUGGCAUCUGAACGGACUGGUGAGCUGAGCAAGGCCGGUGCCCUCGGGCGCCGUGGGCCUCGUCCAGCCUGGAGACCUGAAGAGCGCAAAGGCGAGUCCGCUCUCCCCGCCCCGGGGCCUCGACUCGAACAGCGGUCUCCUGCCUUUGGACGAGGACUGGAACCACGGCGGCUGCCCCGGUCCCCAGCCGGCCGCCUGUAGAUCCGAGGACCCGUCGGCUGCCAGAGCUGCUGCCAGCUCCCCACGAGGCUGCACGUGUGUGUGUCCGCUCGGCAGGUUCACUCGCGAGCUCUCCCUGGACAGCCUGUGGCCCCGCCAGGCCGCCGCCCCGCUCCUCCUGCCGUGGGUCCUUCUGGGCCGCCGCCCUGCCCCCGGGGCCCGAGGUCCAUCCCAAGGCACCAGCCCCAGCCGGCCUCUUCCCCGGUCCACCCCCUCUGCUGGCCGCGUCCUCCUUGUCCUCGAAGUGCCUCGUCAAAGCUGAGGCGGGGGGACCUUGCAUGGGUGUGGAAAUGUCCCCAGCCCCUCGCCCUGCCGGGCGCCUGACCGGAUGGUUGGUUCUGGCCAGAACGUCGUCUGCCCACGGCGAGGGCUGCCCGGGCCGCCCGCGGGCCCUCGAGGGGCCUCCCUGCGCGGUGCGCCAGGGGCUGUGUGCCCGGAGCGAGCGGUGCCUGGCCUCUGGGGACUUCCUGCGGUUUCCUCUAUCGUUUUCUCUUCUGUCGGGAGGUCCAGUUCCACGUGCAGUUAUGGGAAUGGGCCCCUGUUUCCAUACCUUUCCUCUUUAUGUCUCUGUCUCUACAAGAGAGUUUCUCAAUUUUAUCUUUCAAUCCAACUGUCUUUUCCGCAUUUCCACCAACACAUGGAGUCCGUCCUGCUUCCUCUUUA
Molecule: long non-coding RNA, 1451 nt
Organism: Phacochoerus africanus (Common warthog)
Lineage: Eukaryota; Metazoa; Chordata; Mammalia; Artiodactyla; Suidae
Exons: 2
Source: RefSeq, a predicted model, not a curated record